This 154-nucleotide unclassified non-coding RNA is filed under the name uncultured Sordariomycetes. RNAcentral's name for it is "sequence contains ITS1". Lineage: Eukaryota; Fungi; Ascomycota; Sordariomycetes. The record is from RNAcentral.
CAGAGUUGCAAAACUCCCAAACCCCUGUGAACAUACCCGAGACGUUGCUUCGGUAGGCGGCCCCAGGGCGGGGCCACAUGCCUUUAGGUGUCUACCGGAGGACCCAAACUCUUUAUAUUUUAGUGGCAUCUCUGAGAAAAGACAUAAUAAGUCA